GUGUAUGAGGGGAUUCGCAUACAGGAUGGUCUGCAGGUGGCAGUUAAAUUUGUCCAGAAGACCCCAAAUAUGCAAGAUGUCAGCUCUUCAUGUGACCAGCCACUUCCUCUAGAGAUCACCUUGGCAAACAUGGCCAGCGGUGGCUCCAGGUGU
Non-coding RNA from Danio rerio (zebrafish), 153 nucleotides. Lineage: Eukaryota; Metazoa; Chordata; Actinopteri; Cypriniformes; Danionidae. The record is from RefSeq and is a predicted model, not a curated record.